This 450-nucleotide ribosomal RNA is filed under the name uncultured bacterium. RNAcentral describes it as "partial 16S ribosomal RNA". It matches the Rfam family "Bacterial small subunit ribosomal RNA", at positions 354 to 796 of the family's 1533-position model. The record is from RNAcentral.
GUGGGGAAUAUUGGACAAUGGGCGAAAGCCUGAUCCAGCCAUGCCGCGUGUGUGAAGAAGGUCUUCGGAUUGUAAAGCACUUUAAGUUGGGAGGAAGGGCAGUAAGUUAAUACCUUGCUGUUUUGACGUUACCAACAGAAUAAGCACCGGCUAACUUCGUGCCAGCAGCCGCGGUAAUACGAAGGGUGCAAGCGUUAAUCGGAAUUACUGGGCGUAAAGCGCGCGUAGGUGGUUCAGCAAGUUGAAGGUGAAAUCCCCGGGCUCAACCUGGGAACUGCCUACAAAACUACUGAGCUAGAGUACGGUAGAGGGUAGUGGAAUUUCCUGUGUAGCGGUGAAAUGCGUAGAUAUAGGAAGGAACACCAGUGGCGAAGGCGACUACCUGGACUGAUACUGACACUGAGGUGCGAAAGCGUGGGGAGCAAACAGGAUUAGAUACCCGGGUAGUCC